GCGGCCGCCGAUUGAUUCGUUAAACGUUUGGAUUGCCGCUUCUUCACGGGGCCGGAACUCCGUGAUAAACACAUGCCCAUUUCUGAUUGAUUGAUAUUCACAUGCAACAGAUUUACACAGGUAUGUACAAUAAGAAUUACGUAUACGUACAAGUAUCUGAUGCUUGCCCCAAAGCAGUUGAGAGUUGAGAGAGAUGAAGAUGGUUAGCAGUAUUGCUUUAUUUGUUUAGAACUGCUUUCAGAAGUAAAGGUGAUAAAAAGUGUGUGUGCAGUCGAUAUGAAAAUGCCCAUAAUUUUGGUUUAUAUUACUAAAAUAACCUUUAAUUUUCCUGUUGCCGUUUGCAAAUAAAACGGGGGACGUGUGUAAGAUGUGGGAGAUAAGUCUUCGUUAUGGG
This 394-nucleotide long non-coding RNA is filed under the name Solanum tuberosum (potato). Its description in RNAcentral is "long non-coding RNA (STUB_LNC003258)". Lineage: Eukaryota; Viridiplantae; Streptophyta; Magnoliopsida; Solanales; Solanaceae. The record is from RNAcentral.